GAUGAAGAACGUAGCGAAAUGCGAUAAGUAAUGUGAAUUGCAGAAUUCAGUGAAUCAUCGAAUCUUUGAACGCACCUUGCGCCCCUUGGUUAUUCCAAAGGGCAUGCCUGUUUGAGUAUCAUGAACACCUCAACUCUUGUGGUUUCCCACAAUGAGCUUGGACUGUGGAGGUUUUGUUGGCCCUGUGGUCAGCUCCUCUCAAAUGGAUCAGCUUACCGGUGUUUGGUGGCAUUACGGGUGUGAUAACUAUCUACGCUCGUGGUCGUCUCCAAAUAACCUCCAGUGAUGGAGGUUCGCUGGAGCUUAUAAAUGUCUCUCCCCAGUGAAGACAGCCUUUGAACGUUCGAUCUCAAAUCAGGUAGGACUACCCGCUGAACUUAAGCAUAUCAAUAAGCGGGAGGA
RNAcentral lists this unclassified non-coding RNA (402 nucleotides) under soil metagenome. Its description in RNAcentral is "partial contains 5.8S ribosomal RNA, internal transcribed spacer 2, and large subunit ribosomal RNA". The stretch from base 1 to 121 matches the Rfam family "5.8S ribosomal RNA", at positions 35 to 154 of the family's 154-position model. The record is from RNAcentral.